This 501-nucleotide ribosomal RNA is filed under the name uncultured bacterium. RNAcentral describes it as "partial 16S ribosomal RNA". It matches the Rfam family "Bacterial small subunit ribosomal RNA", at positions 30 to 523 of the family's 1533-position model. The record is from RNAcentral.
AUUGAACGCUGGCGGCAGGCUUAGCACAUGCAAGCCGAGCGGAGAUGAGGUGCUUGCACCUUAUCUUAGCGGCGGACGGGUGAGUAAUGCUUAGGAAUCUGCCUAUUAGUGGGGGACACCAUUCCGAAAGGAAUGCUAAUACCGCAUACGUCCUACGGGAGAAAGCAGGGGAUCUUCGGACCUUGCGCUAAUAGAUGAGCCUAAGUCGGAUUAGCUAGUUGGUGGGGUAAAGGCCUACCAAGGCGACGAUCUGUAGCGGGUCUGAGAGGAUGAUCCGCCACACUGGGACUGAGACACGGCCCAGACUCCUACGGGAGGCAGCAGUGGGGAAUAUUGGACAAUGGGGGGAACCCUGAUCCAGCCAUGCCGCGUGUGUGAAGAAGGCCUUAUGGUUGUAAAGCACUUUAAGCGAGGAGGAGGCUACUGAGACUAAUACUCUUGGAUAGUGGACGUUACUCGCAGAAUAAGCACCGGCUAACUCUGUGCCAGCCGCCGCAGUAA